AUUGAACGCUAGCGGCAGGCCUAACACAUGCAAGUCGAGCGAGCGGCGGAAGGGGGAGUAAUGUAUGGGGACUGCCCGCUAGAGGGGGAUAACUACUGGAAACGGUAGCUAAUACCGCAUACUAUCGGAUAACCCAUCGGGGAUUAGCUAUGUGGUGAGGUAAUGGAUCACAAAGGCGACGAUCCCUAGCUGUUCUGAGGGGAUGAUCAGCCAAACGGGGAAUGAGACACGGCCCAGAAGCCUACGGAGGCAGCAGUGGGGAAUAUUGAACAAUGGGCGCAAGCCUGAUGCAGCCAUGCCGCGUGUAUGAAGAAGGCCUUAGGGUUGUAAAGUACUUGCAGCGGGGAGGCGUUACCCGCAGAAGAAGCACCGGCUAACUCCGUGCCAGCCGCCGCGGUAAUUC
This 403-nucleotide ribosomal RNA is filed under the name uncultured bacterium. Its description in RNAcentral is "partial 16S ribosomal RNA". It matches the Rfam family "Bacterial small subunit ribosomal RNA", at positions 30 to 526 of the family's 1533-position model. The record is from RNAcentral.